Molecule: ribosomal RNA, 440 nt
Filed under: uncultured bacterium
Lineage: Bacteria
Description: partial 16S ribosomal RNA
Rfam family: Bacterial small subunit ribosomal RNA
Source: RNAcentral
CCUACGGGUGACAGCAGUGGGGAAUAUUGCACAAUGGGGGAAACCCUGAUGCAGCAACGCCGCGUGAGUGAAGAAGGAUUUCGGUAUGUAAAGCUCUAUCAGCAGGGAAGCAGAUGACGGUACCUGAGUAAGAAGCCCCGUCUAACUACGUGCCAGCAGCCGCGGUAAUACGUAGGGGGCAAGCGUUAUCCGGAUUUACUGGGUGUAAAGGGGGCGUAGACGGUGAGACAAGUCUGAAGUGAAAGGCCUGGGCUCAACCCCGGGACUGCUGUGGAAACUGCCUGACUGGAGUGGUGGAGAGGCACGCGGAAUUCCUAGUGUAGCGGUGAAAUGCGUAGAUAUUAGGAAGAACCCCAGUGGCGAAGGCGGCUUGCUGGACAGUAACUGACGUUGAGGCUCGAAAGCGUGGGGAGCAAACAGGAUUAGAUACCCUGGUAGUC